RNAcentral lists this microRNA (19 nucleotides) under Homo sapiens (human). RNAcentral's name for it is "hsa-miR-4645-5p". The record is from miRBase by way of RNAcentral. Lineage: Eukaryota; Metazoa; Chordata; Mammalia; Primates; Hominidae.
ACCAGGCAAGAAAUAUUGU